CUUUGGUGGCGACCGGCGCACGGGUGCGUAACGCGUAUGUAACCUACCUAUAACAGGGGCAUAACACUGAGAAAUUGGUACUAAUUCCCCAUAAUAUUCGGAGAGGCAUCUCUCCGGGUUGAAAACUCCGGUGGUUAUAGAUGGACAUGCGUUGUAUUAGCUAGUUGGUGAGGUAACGGCUCACCAAGGCAACGAUACAUAGGGGGACUGAGAGGUUAACCCCCCACACUGGUACUGAGACACGGCCCAGACUCCUACGGGAGGCAGCAUG
This 271-nucleotide ribosomal RNA is filed under the name uncultured bacterium. Its description in RNAcentral is "partial 16S ribosomal RNA". It matches the Rfam family "Bacterial small subunit ribosomal RNA", at positions 83 to 353 of the family's 1533-position model. The record is from RNAcentral.